RNAcentral lists this ribosomal RNA (118 nucleotides) under Sinocyclocheilus grahami. The record is from RNAcentral. Lineage: Eukaryota; Metazoa; Chordata; Actinopteri; Cypriniformes; Cyprinidae.
ACCAGCAGCCAUAUCUCCCUGCAGCCCAAGACUGGUUGCCCACUGAAGCUAAGCAGGGUUGAGCCUGGUCAGUACCUGGUUGUGAGACCUCCUGGGAAAAACUAGGUUGCUGCUGGAA